RNAcentral lists this ribosomal RNA (500 nucleotides) under uncultured bacterium. RNAcentral describes it as "partial 16S ribosomal RNA". It matches the Rfam family "Bacterial small subunit ribosomal RNA", at positions 28 to 507 of the family's 1533-position model. The record is from RNAcentral.
GACGAACGCUGGCGGCGUGCUUAACACAUGCAAGUCGAACGGGCCUGUCUUCUUUUUUGGGGGGUGGGUUGAGUGGCGAACGGGUGAGUAUCACGUGAGUAACCUGCCCUUCGGUCCUGGAUAACCGCUUGAAAGGGCGGCUAAUACGGGGUGGUCCGGUUGGUCCGCAUGGGCUGGUCGGGAUAGAUUCACUGUUUUUGGUGUUUCGGCGGGGGAUGGGCUCGCGGCCUAUCAGCUUGUUGGUGGGGUGAUGGCCUUCCGAGGCGGUGCAGGGUGGCCGGGCUGAGAGGGUGGGCGGCCACACUGGGGCUGAGAUACGGCCCAGACUCCUGCGGGAGGCAGCAGUGGGGGGUAUUGCACAAUGGGCGGAAGCCUGAUGCAGCGACGUCGCGUGAGGGAUGGAGGCCUUCGGGUUGUGAACCUCUGUUUCCGGUGGUGAAGGCCCUGUCCGUGUGGUGGGGUUGACGGUAGCCGGAGAUGAAGCGCCGGCUAACUACGUG